Molecule: ribosomal RNA, 234 nt
Filed under: uncultured bacterium
Lineage: Bacteria
Description: partial 16S ribosomal RNA
Rfam family: Bacterial small subunit ribosomal RNA
Source: RNAcentral
UACGUAGGUGGCAAGCGUUGUCCGGAUUUACUGGGCGUAAAGAGCGCGCAGGCGGUCGGAUAAGUCGAAUGUGAAAGCCCCCGGCUCAACUGGGGAGGGUCAUUCGAUACUGUUCGACUCGAAGGCAGGAGAGGGAAGUGGAAUUCCCGGUGUAGUGGUGAAAUGCGUAGAUAUCGGGAGGAACACCAGUGGCGAAGGCGACUUCCUGGCCUGUUCUUGACGCUGAGGCGCGAA